GACGAACGCUGGCGGCGUGCCUAAUACAUGCAAGUAGAACGCUGAAGGAGGAGCUUGCUUCUCUGGAUGAGUUGCGAACGGGUGAGUAACGCGUAGGUAACCUGCCUGGUAGCGGGGGAUAACUAUUGGAAACGAUAGCUAAUACCGCAUAAGAGUAGAUGUUGCAUGACAUUUGCUUAAAAGGUGCAAUUGCAUCACUACCAGAUGGACCUGCGUUGUAUUAGCUAGUUGGUGAGGUAACGGCUCACCAAGGCGACGAUACAUAGCCGACCUGAGAGGGUGAUCGGCCACACUGGGACUGAGACACGGCCCAGACUCCUACGGGAGGCAGCAGUAGGGAAUCUUCGGCAAUGGACGGAAGGCUGACCGAGCAACGCCGCGUGAGUGAAGAAGGGUUUCGGAUCGUAAAGCUCUGUUGUAAGAGAAGAACGAGUGUGAGAGUGGAAAGUUCACACUGUGACGGUAUCUUACCAGAAAGGGACGGCUAACUACGUG
RNAcentral lists this ribosomal RNA (495 nucleotides) under uncultured bacterium. Its description in RNAcentral is "partial 16S ribosomal RNA". It matches the Rfam family "Bacterial small subunit ribosomal RNA", at positions 28 to 507 of the family's 1533-position model. The record is from RNAcentral.